AAUCAUUGGAAACGAUGACUAAUACCGCAUACGGUUCCUGGGAGGCAUCUUCCGGGAAAGAAAGGAUUUAUUCGGUGCAGGAUGGGCCCGCAUCUGAUUAGCUAGUUGGUGAGAUAACAGCCCACCAAGGCGACGAUCAGUAGCCGACCUGAGAGGGUGACCGGCCACAUUGGGACUGAGACACGGCCCAAACUCCUACGGGAGGCAGCAGUGGGGAAUAUUGCACAAUGGGGGGAACCCUGAUCCAGCGACGCCGCGUGAGUGAAGAAGUAUUUCGGUAUGUAAAGCUCUAUCAGCAGGGAAGAAGAAAAUGACGGUACCUGACUAAGAAGCCCCGGCUAACUACGUGCCAGCAGCCGCGGUAAUACGUAGGGGGCAAGCGUUAUCCGGAUUUACUGGGUGUAAAGGGAGCGUAGACGGUAGUGCAAGUCUGGAGUGAAAGGCGGGGGCCCAACCCCCGGACUGCUCUGGAAACUGUGCGACUAGAGUGCAGGAGAGGUAAGUGGAAUUCCUAGUGUAGCGGUGAAAUGCGUAGAUAUUAGGAGGAACACCAGUGGCGAAGGCGGCUUUCUGGACUGAAACUGACGCUGAGGCACGAAAGCGUGGGGAGCGAACAGGAUUAGAUACCCUGGUAGUCCACGCCGUAAACGAUGAGUGCU
Molecule: ribosomal RNA, 659 nt
Filed under: uncultured bacterium
Lineage: Bacteria
Description: bacterial SSU rRNA
Rfam family: Bacterial small subunit ribosomal RNA
Source: RNAcentral